GGGUUGUCAUGCCAAUGGCACUGCCCGGUAGCUAAAUGCGGAAGAGAUAAGUGCUGAAAGCAUCUAAGCACGAAACUUGCCCCGAGAUGAGUUCUCCCUGAGACUAUAAGUCUCCUGAAGGAACGUUAAAGACGAUGACGUUGAUAGGCCGGGUGUGUAAGCGCAGCGAUGCGUUGAGCUAACCGGUACUAAUGAACCGUGAGGCUUAACCUUACAACGCCGAAG
RNAcentral lists this ribosomal RNA (225 nucleotides) under Klebsiella pneumoniae. Its description in RNAcentral is "partial 23S ribosomal RNA". It matches the Rfam family "Bacterial large subunit ribosomal RNA", at positions 2718 to 2925 of the family's 2925-position model. Lineage: Bacteria; Pseudomonadati; Pseudomonadota; Gammaproteobacteria; Enterobacterales; Enterobacteriaceae. RNAcentral also lists the same sequence under 2 other names. The record is from RNAcentral.